Molecule: transfer RNA, 77 nt
Filed under: Aureimonas sp. Leaf427
Lineage: Bacteria; Pseudomonadati; Pseudomonadota; Alphaproteobacteria; Hyphomicrobiales; Aurantimonadaceae
Also listed under: 1 other name
Description: tRNA-Arg
Rfam family: tRNA
About the family: Transfer RNA (tRNA) molecules are approximately 80 nucleotides in length. Their secondary structure includes four short double-helical elements and three loops (D, anti-codon, and T loops).
Source: RNAcentral
GGUCCCGUAGCUCAGCAGGAUAGAGCAUCAGAUUCCUAAUCUGAGGGUCGCGUGUUCAAAUCACGCCGGGAUCACCA